UGUAAGCUUUAGGAGUAGCUAGUUUUUACUAGUUUGAGAAACAUCCUUUGAACCUGAUUUGGUUAAUACCAGCGUAGGGAAAAGUUAUUUCUUUAAU
Molecule: non-coding RNA, 97 nt
Filed under: Neotamlana nanhaiensis
Lineage: Bacteria; Pseudomonadati; Bacteroidota; Flavobacteriia; Flavobacteriales; Flavobacteriaceae
Description: Tamlana nanhaiensis TPP sequence
Rfam family: TPP riboswitch aptamer (THI element)
About the family: Vitamin B(1) in its active form thiamin pyrophosphate (TPP) is an essential coenzyme that is synthesised by coupling of pyrimidine and thiazole moieties in bacteria. The previously detected thiamin-regulatory element, thi box was extended, resulting in a new, highly conserved RNA secondary structure, the THI element, which is widely distributed in eubacteria and also occurs in some archaea. Analysis of operon structures identified a large number of new candidate thiamin-regulated genes, mostly transporters, in various prokaryotic organisms.
Source: Rfam by way of RNAcentral